GUCGUUCAAUUCCAAAUCGCGUACAGAGCGGCGGCCCCAACGCUGUCGGCGGCGGCGGCCCAGAUCCAUCCUCAAGCUGGGCGAAUUCAGAAAAUCUACGAUGGCUCCUGGCGAUCACGUCGCCGGCGGUGCUGUUUGAGGCAGAUCAAAUCAGAUCUCCUCUGCUACUAAGCUCAGCUCGCAGUGUGCUCGUCGCAGGCUCGCAACCUCUCAUCUGAUUCUCCGGUAGCGGUCGGUUCGUCGCCUCCUCUCUCUCUCUCACGCACCAGGAUCAGCUCGUGUCCUCCUCCCCCUCGUCAGCAGCAAGCCGGUGGUGAGCUCCUCGGCUCCUUCCCAACCGCCCCAUGCGACGUGGUGCGAACCUACAAAUCCUCGAUACGGUUGUUCAUUUUCCUGGAUCCAGUAAUGGAGGGCGGAAGCGUGACAUCGCCUUUAGGAGUGCCCAUGGUUGCAAUGACCACAGCAUGUGCGCCAGCACUAUCAGCUGUGGAAUCGAUCAACAUCAUUCGAAAUCAAGAUUACAACAAUGCUACCUUGUUUGCAGAGAUUAAUUCACCCAUGCUUCUCAUUGAUGAUUUCAGUACUCCAAAAAAGAAAGAAUCAUUCUCUCAAGAGCUAGGUAGAUUGAACUGAUCAAGUGUAUAAGAGUUCAUGGAGGUUAAAAACUCUCGUAUAGAAGCUGGAAUGCCAGUGGAUGAAGCUCGAUCAACAGGAAGCACUAAAACAGGAUGCAAAAUGAUACUCAUAGAUCUUUUCUGUCAUGUACUAUCAAGAUGCUUGUUGGACGGUGAUAGUUUCAGUCAUUUACACUUGGGUCUGCUGGCCAUGUACUAAAAGUGUUCUAUGUAUACCUCCUAUGUUGUAUUCUCAUGUACUCAAAUACUCAAAAUGAUGUGGUGAUAAUUCCAGUCCUUAAUUUGCUC
Long non-coding RNA from Triticum dicoccoides, 923 nucleotides. RefSeq lists it as uncharacterized. NCBI's taxonomy places the organism in Eukaryota, Viridiplantae, Streptophyta, Magnoliopsida, Poales, Poaceae. The record is from RefSeq and is a predicted model, not a curated record. The transcript is spliced from 4 exons.